This 372-nucleotide ribosomal RNA is filed under the name Marionina cf. minutissima PDW-2010. Its description in RNAcentral is "partial 12S ribosomal RNA". Lineage: Eukaryota; Metazoa; Annelida; Clitellata; Enchytraeida; Enchytraeidae. The record is from RNAcentral.
UUAAAGUCCAGGAAAUACAAACAAAUGUUUAAAACCUAAAAAAAAUGGCGGUAUCUUAUAUCAUCAGGGGAACCUGUUACUUAAUUCGAUAAUCCACGAAAAUUAAACCUUAUAUUGAAUUUCAGCCUGUAUACUACUGUCGCCAGUAAACCUAUAAAAGAUAGAUUACAAUCACAAACUAAUGUGUUAACGUCAAGUCAAAGUGCAGCUAAUACUAAGGAGUAAUAUGGGUUACAAUCUCCAUAAAAGAUUAUUAAUCUACAAAAUAAAAAUGUAGUGACAGUGGACUUGAAAGUAAUUAUCAUAUAUUACUAUAAUAAACCUCAUUCUAAGAUAUGCACACAUCGCCCGUCGCUCUCGUUUACAAAAACC